RNAcentral lists this ribosomal RNA (496 nucleotides) under uncultured bacterium. RNAcentral's name for it is "partial 16S ribosomal RNA". It matches the Rfam family "Bacterial small subunit ribosomal RNA", at positions 28 to 507 of the family's 1533-position model. The record is from RNAcentral.
GAUGAACGCUGGCGGCGUGCCUAAUACAUGCAAGUCGAGCGAACAGACGAGGAGCUUGCUCCUCUGACGUUAGCGGCGGACGGGUGAGUAACACGUGGAUAACCUACCUAUAAGACUGGGAUAACUUCGGGAAACCGGAGCUAAUACCGGAUAAUAUAUUGAACCGCAUGGUUCAAUAGUGAAAGACGGUUUUGCUGUCACUUAUAGAUGGAUCCGCGCCGCAUUAGCUAGUUGGUAAGGUAACGGCUUACCAAGGCGACGAUGCGUAGCCGACCUGAGAGGUUGACCGCCAAACUGGAACUGAGAACCGGGCCCGACUCCUACGGGGAGGCACAGGAGGGAAUCCUCCGGAAUGGGGCAAAGCCUGACGGAGCAACGCCGCGUGAAUUAUUAAGGUCUUCGGAUCCUAAAACUCUGUUAUUAGGGGAGAACCAAAUUUUAAGUAACCUUGCACCUCUUGACGGUACCUAAUCAGAAAGCCCCGGCUAACUUCGUG